AGCUCCGCGAGUGGUCGGGACGAUUAUUGGGCCUAAAGCGUCCGUAGCCGGCCUAACAAGUCUCUGGUUAAACUUCAAGGCUUAACCUUGAGAUUGCUGGAGAUACUGUUAGGCUAGGAGGCGGGAGAGGUUGAGGGUACUUCACGGGUAGGGGCGAAAUCCUAUAAUCCGUGAAGGACCACCAGUGGCGAAGGCGCUCAACUGGAACGCGCUCGACGGUGAGGGACGAAAGCCAGGGGAGCAAAGGGG
This 249-nucleotide ribosomal RNA is filed under the name uncultured crenarchaeote. RNAcentral's name for it is "partial 16S ribosomal RNA". It matches the Rfam family "Archaeal small subunit ribosomal RNA", at positions 478 to 727 of the family's 1478-position model. Lineage: Archaea; Thermoproteati; Thermoproteota. The record is from RNAcentral.